This 719-nucleotide ribosomal RNA is filed under the name Analges sp. n. 5 MD-2020. RNAcentral describes it as "partial large subunit ribosomal RNA". The record is from RNAcentral. Lineage: Eukaryota; Metazoa; Arthropoda; Arachnida; Sarcoptiformes; Analgidae.
AUAUUUUUUUGCUUGAAAUUUUUUAAAAUGUUUAUGGGGAGUAAUACGCUUUCGUUUCCUAGGGUAUCUAGUUUAACUUGUGUUUGUAAAUGGGAAACCUUUUUAAUUUUUUCUAUUUUAACUGAUUAUGUUUUUUUUUAAUAGUAAAUGGUUGUGUAAUAACUUAAUUUGUAAUAAAGAAAAGUCUAUUUUUUUGGUGACUUGAUUAAUUGAUUAAUGGAUUAGUAGAUUGAAUUUUAUUAGAUUUUAUUUUACUUAUAUUAAGAGAUUUGAGUUAUUUCUACUUACUGAUUUUUUCUUAGACUGGUUAAUAAAAUCUUAGCCACAAAAUUUGUGGUUAUUUCUGCUCUAUGCAAAAAAGUAAAUGGCUGUUUAGACACUAAGGUAGCAAAAUCAUUAGUUAUUUAAUUGGUAACUUGUAUGAAUGAAUUUUCUAAGAAAGAUAUUAAUUUUUUUUUUGAAUUUAUAAAUUUGUUGAAAAUAACAAUUUUACCUAUAAGACUAAAAGACCCUAAAAUUUUUAUAACUAAUAGAAUUAAAAGUUAUUUGGUUGGGGCAAUAAUAAAAAGUUAAUAUUAAGUAAUUUAUUUUUUCUUGAACUUUUAGUAUUGAUAAAAUGAAAAAUACUUUAGGGAUAACAGCUUAAUUAUUUUUAAGAGUUCUUAUUAUUAAAAUAGUUUUAGACCUCGAUGUUGGAUUGGGAAAACUUUUUGGGGCAG